AUACGGAGGGUCCAAGCGUUAUCCGGAAUCAUUGGGUUUAAAGGGUCCGCAGGCGGUCAAUUAAGUCAGAGGUGAAAGCCCAUCGCUCAACGAUGGAACUGCCUUUGAUACUGGUUGACUUGAGUUAUACGGAAGUAGAUAGAAUAAGUAGUGUAGCGGUGAAAUGCAUAGAUAUUACUUAGAAUACCGAUUGCGAAGGCAGUCUACUACGUAUAUACUGACGCUGAGGGACGAAAGCGUAGGGAGCGAACAGGAUUAGAAACCCUAGUAGUCC
Molecule: ribosomal RNA, 274 nt
Filed under: uncultured bacterium
Lineage: Bacteria
Description: partial 16S ribosomal RNA
Rfam family: Bacterial small subunit ribosomal RNA
Source: RNAcentral